GAGUUCAACAAAGACAGCUCCCAAAAUAUGGUUUCCGGCUCCAUUUUUGCAGACGAAAGUGUCGAAAGCGUCAACCGUCGUAUCAUUGCUAAAGAACCAAAACGAAGCUAUGAUCAGGUUCUUGGCUCAACCAAAAAAAAAACUUUGAAUCCAUAGAAAUUUGAGAAAUUUUGUACGAAAGUGAAUUAAACCAAUGAGUUUCAUUUUGUACUUUUUCAUUUUUCUUGAGGGCUUAGUCCCAAAAAGGUAAAAUAUGCAAGGGAAAGUGUACUCUCACUCACCGGGUGUUGUUUGUGAAAUGGGAGCUAGAUGUUUCCACCUCAGCGUUCUUUCCAAAAAUCGAACCAAGCCUUCGAUAUACUGUCAAGGUCUUCCAUGUUUUGGCUAGAAGUUCCUAUAAAUCUGAAAAAUGCCAAAAAUAAGGUUUUGGCUUAGAAAAAGACAGAGAUUGAAAGAAAACGAAUAGUUUGGUUCAACGAAUCACAAAUGACCAAAUUACAAAUCAGUAGUUUGGUAUUGAUAAUCUCACAAACGAAAUCUCUUUGCAGUAGUCGAAAGAACAUGCAUUUUGAAUCCGCCUCCUCUCCUUAUAUCCAGACCAAUAAGCAUGCAUCCUCUCGCUGUGCUCUGGGAUCCCAAAAAUGGAUGAUCCUAAAUAGAAGCUUCGCCUCUACCAAGCCGAGAAGAACGUAACUGAAGAACAUAGCGUAGUGAAUGUGGAGGAUGAUAUUGCUGAUUUGUUGGUCAUGGAAGUGAAGGAUUUUUUGUAGACUGUAACAGAGUGAUAUAUAUAGGGUGAAGGCAGGGAAAUUCUAUCGGCAAGUAGGUUUUGAUUGCAGAAGCCAUUAACAUAGAUUUGAUGAAGCUUAAUUAUUCAGGUAGAAAGUUACACCAGAAAUCCGGAGCGGCAGGAAAUUUGGGGUUUCGCGAGUAGAAGAAGAUGAAAGGACGUGGCUGUAUAGAUUUUCGGGAAAUGUUUUGGGCCAGUUAAAGGCUUUUUGCAAAUCUUUAUAUAUAAAAAAUGGUUUUCUCCCUCCUGGUGAAGUCACAUAGGCAGACAGGUCAGAAAGUCAGUGAUUUUGGGCGCGCCACGUGUCCUCAUUCUGCGAUUCUGCGUUUCAUUAAUAUAGUUGUGCACACCAUUUGGGCUUUUAGUUUUGAUGGACUUCGUUUUUACUUUGGACUUCUGUGAGGGUUAGACCGUGUUCUUCUUCGUCACCUCUCCAGUUCUUCGCAAGAACUCUUUCAUAUUCUUCCUCAGAUACAGAAACAUACCAGUUACGAAUAAUCAUAUUAAAACCUCUCCAUUAAUCUCUCACAUACGAUUCAUAUUCAAUGCGAUUUCUAGAUCUGCAAGGCGGUGGAGGUUCAUCUAUAAAAAGACGCGCUCCUCCUCCUCCUCUGUUCAAGUCCGGUUGCUCUGUUUAUAGGAGGCCAGGAGUGACCGCCGUGGUGGAGAACUCAUGUGGGAGUGGAUGUACUCCUUCUCGAUUCUCAGGACUUUUGCGGUGGCGACCUUCGAUGGAGGUCUUCUCAGAGAUUUUAUCUAACUUUCCUGAAGCUUCACAGAGAUCUCAAAACGUCCACAGCCAUGGCGAUAAACAAAGUCCACGGAUUAUGCGGAGCCAAUCAUACGUUUCCUUAGAUCUUUUCCUUUCCUCUUUUUUUGGUGUUGAGGAAUUCAUACUGUUUUCUUUGUGCUUCUGAACUCUUAUGUUGAUCCUGAGUACAAAGACUACAUAGGCUUAGCAAUGCCACCAGGUGAUGUAACUUUAAAGGUGUGGCUGAAUAGGUUUUCUAAGCUUUAAUCGCAAUUCUCAUCAGCCCCUCCAUCAUUCACCAAACAGAUUUAUGGGCCUACCAAAAUAGACAAGCAGAAACGUUUAUGCAGCUUUUUUGCCAUUUCUGCUGCUCUUCGUUUACAUGUAUAGCCCGGUCGGAGUUGGAGAACAGAGGUAGCAGCUGCAAAUACUGAAGGAAGAUGAGAGCUUGACUUCUUGAAUGGCAUCGACCUUGAUUCUCAAGUUAUGUGUCCAAGUCAUUUUUCUCAGUUCCACGUGAUGGCUAAAGGAUAGAAGCAUUGCAAAGGAAAAGAAUUCUGAGCACUGUUUUCAGUGAGAUCUAAAUAGUUACAUUUUGAAACUAACGUAAACUUUAAAAUCUUUCAUCACUUUUUAGACUUUCACCCUAAUGGAUUCAUGCCCAUGAUCUCAAACAAUUAGGAUAUCUACAUAUAUUCUAACAGAUGUGUUUCUUAUGUUGUUUCUAACAUGUAACUAAUAGUGUGAUCUUUCUCUUUCUUUUUUUGAGUACUUAGUGGCCACAAUCAAUGAUUUCCAAAGAGCUUUUAUAUCUAAAGAACUGUGAUGCAAUGUAAUAUUUUCCUCCAUUACUCUAUUCCAAACUUUAUAUACCUUCCUAUAUGAGGAGCCCCAUUACUAACAUCUCCAGACAUUGUCACUCACUUUCUCUAUAAUUGUAACUUAUAAGUAAUUUGAGUUUGGCUCCAUUUUCUUAAAUCUUGGUUUUCUGGGUUAACACUACUUGACCAGUUUAACUGUAUACAUUUUUUCUUAUAAUAAGUCUCAUUGUAUUUGCUACAAAGAGAUAGACAUCACAAAAAGAUAGAAUCACCUAAGGCCUAAACAAAGGUUUCAUGUAGUUUUGAAAUAAAUGGUAAAAUCAAUAACAUUAUGAACUUAUUGGAGUAUGUCCAAACGUGGAUAUAUUUGUUUCGUUUGAUUUUUUGUAAAUGGGCCUCAGACAAUAAUCUAAUUACAGUUGGGUCAGGGGUACAUCAACGAAAGCUCAAGAGUACAUCCAUCUUCAACAAGUAUAUAAUUUUUAAAAUGAAUGGUAAAACAAUUAGUUACAAAUGUUGUUAAAAAAAUUGUGAACGUUAAUGCUACUUAUUACUUAAGUUAAAAGUUAAUUAUUAUUUUUUUAACUGUACGUUAAAAGUAUUUUGUCCACACUAACUGGCAUAGUAUUUUAUCAAAUAUUGAUAAAUAUAUGCAUUAUCAUUUUAAUAGAAAUAUUUAGUGAUAAGUUGAACAUCAUGACAAAGUUUUUCGUCAUAAUAGAAAUACUUUUUACUGCGUAAAUAAAUUUUGAAAUAUUCAUGCAUUAAAAUUAUUUAAUAAUAUAUUAAAUAUUAAAUUCUUUAUAUGACAAAUUUAUCAUAACAUAAAUACUUUUGUACUGUUUAAUAAAUUUUAAAACAUUCAUGUAUAUACAAAUAUUACAUCUAUUAUGCCCAUAUGUGUAAGGGAAAUUAAACCCCAAACUAAAACCUAUAUCUUUCAAAUCUAUACUAUAAGGGAGGUGAAUACAAAUUUACCAAACACGAAUAUAAUUUUUGCAGUUUAUUAAUUCUAAAAGGGUAUAUAAUAAAGUGAUAUAUCAUAGUUGUUUGGAAAUACGUAGAUAAAGCAAGUAUCCUCCAAGUUUCUUAGCAUGAUAUGAUUCAGAGAAAUUAAUCGACUACCACUGCUUUGGAAUUAACUUUACCAUUUGAUCAAAGUAUUUUAUCAUUGACAAUCUCUGAAUUAUUUAAGCCAAAUCACAAUUCCUAAAUAAACAAAAAUAAAUAAUUAUACUUAUUAAAAUAUUCAUAUUUCUGCAGUAAAUUACUUAGACAACUAAACUUAUCAAAAAUAAAAUUAAAUAAAUGAUAAAGAGUAGAUGUAUAACUUUGUAUGUUUUGUAGAGUAUUUCUAUAAAAAAAAAAAUGUAGAUAAUAUUACGUAAAUAACAGUAUGUAGAGCAUAUAUAAAUAUCACAUUUUUAAUAUUAAACUAUGUUAAAAUUAUAAUGAAUGAAAGGUUAUUACCAAUUGAUCAUAGUUAUUAUAAUAAUUAGAUAUAUUCAUACUAUUAUUUGAAAAUAUGUAAAAUAAACAAAAUUAUCUAAAAUCAUGGAGACUGUGACAAAUCAGCAAAAUCACUUCUUAAAUUAUAUAUAUAUAUAUAUAUAUAUGUAUAAGAUUCAGAAAAAUAAGAACAAGUAAAAUAAUGUAAUUAUUAUCAAAAUAAAAAUAUUGUUUCAUUUGAAAAAUCAUAAUUAUGUCUGGUAUUAUGCAAUUUACUCAAGCAUCUUUGAUGCUCAAUAUUUUGAUAUCAUAUAUAAGUAAAUAAUUCAGGAAAUAAUUGUUUAAACAUAAUAUAAAACAAUCAAUUGAAGCAAAAUAGACUCAAAUAUUUAGCAGAGUAUUAAACAUUAUCAUAAUCUAAACAUUAUUGUAAAUUUUCCAAUACACUUACGAAUAAACUUCAAAUUUCUUUUUUUUUUUACGAAAUAUCAAGUGAAUGGGGGGAGUUGUAAGAUAGCCAAAAUGUUAAGAGUCAUGAACGAGACUGACAAUGUGAUAGUCCAUUAUUUUCAUAUCUACAACUUGAAUAAACUAUAGUCUAUAGCUACAAUCCGAAAAUCCAAAACCCGAAUAGAUCCGAACCGAACCCGAAUGGAUACCCGAAUGCCCACCCUUAGUAAGUGUCUCUUUCUCUAUCGUUUUCAUUCUUACAUUUUUAAUUUUCCAAAAUACAAAUCUACUAAAUCUCCUAUCUUCUUUUGUAGCAACAAUGCUACUGAGACAAAGAGCACCAUGAUGAAAUCUAUCUCCAAUGGAAGCUACAAACACAAGUCACUAUUUGCAGUGGCGGACUCAGGUUUGAUUUUAAGGGAUGCAUAUUGGGCUAUAGCCCAACAUAAUCAAACAAUACUAAAAAGAACAUAUGAAGCCCUCUGAGCUAUGCCACAUCGGAUUAGAAAAUCAGCCACUAAAAUUACAGCAAUCCUCCGUGUCAUUAAUGAGUUGCCUGAUUUCUUAAAGACUGUGGGCCCCGCGUUCUGACCGGUUAUGAUUAGUCGAUUAGGUUUGGUGUUCUGUCUGAUUUUGGUUCUCCAUGUUCGGUUAGAUAUUAAGUCAAACUCUGCGUUUUCUCUUUCAAUAGAUUAGGGUUUAAUUCUUUUCGUUCUUCCAGUUUUCGAUAUCGCCGUCUCCGCUAAUCUUUGAACGCACACACACAAUGAUUUCUUCUCACAACUCUUAACCUUCCCUAUGUUCAAAGUAUUUCUCUUAAUUUCGCUAAUAAAUGUUAUUUUCAUUGAAACCAAAAAUGAUGACGACCUCUCUGUUUCCUUCACGUCAAACCUAUAAAUUGGAGAGGGUUGAGAGUUGGAUCUUGACAUGAAGAAAUGAAGCCUCGGAGGAGACAAUGGAGAAGGACAAUCCUCGGGUCAAUCGUCUCUUAUGCCAAGAAAUCCGCCACGCGGAUCAGCACCGGAGGGAAUUCAGUUAGAAAAAGCUUAAAAAUUGUAGUCGAGAAGGAAAAGCUUAAAAAUCUGAAGGAGUGUUCUGACUCAUGUUCGACAAUAUUUCAUCCAGAAGGUCGGUUCCUACUUGACCCUAUUUCACUUCCCAUCAGACUAUUCCUUCGCUUGAUCAACUUUGUCAACGCCUGAACAUUAUAAUGAUGCAACUUAUUAGGAUAAUGCUUGUGUUCUCCUUCCCAGCGAAGAUCCGCAUUGAACCAAGCUCGCUUAUGUUCCUUAGUUUGUGCUUUUGCUGCCGCUGGAUCUGUGGACACCAACUAAACUAUCUUUAGCUUCUGGACUACAGUCAACCUAAUGUCAUAGCGGCUCCUUGAAUAUAUCUAUAUCGGUAAGUAUUAUGGAUAGACUCACCAAGUCAGCCCAUUUCCUAGCGAUCAAGAAGACGGACAGUGAUGAUCAGUUGGCGCAGGUUUCAUCAGAGAGAUUGUGAGGUUACAUGGAGUUCUCGUUGGUAUUGUGUAGAUCAGGAUGCAAAAUUUCACAUCAACAUUUUGGAGAGCCUUUCAGAAGGAACUUAGGACAAAGGUUCAUAUGAGUACAGCCUAUCACCACAGACAUGUAGUCAGUGAGAGAGGACUAUUCAAAAUUUUGAGGAUAUUCUUAAAGCUUGCAUUUUAUAUUGGGAAGGAAGCUGCCUCUAGCAGAGUUUGCUUACAACAACAACUAUCAUUCGAGUAUUGAGAUGGCACCGUAUGAGGCACUUUAUGGUAGGCCUUGUCAUACACCACUUUGUUCGACAGACGUGGGGGAGCGGCAAGACUUAGAACCAGCAAUGGUUGAGGAGAUAGUAAAGCAGGUAGAGAUGCUCAAGACUCAGCUUAAGGAAGCCCAUGACCGUCAGAAGAGCUAUGCAGAUAAGCGCCGUAAAGACUUGGAGUGUCAGGUAGAGACUUAGUAUACCUGAAAAUGAGGACAUUUCAGGGAGGAUCUAGGACUCUGAAGCUAAAGAAGCUUAAACCGAGAUAUAUGGGACCGUACCCAAUUGUGGAGCGGAUUGAAGCAGUGGCUUACAUAUUGCAGUUAUCAUCAAAGUGUUCCAUGUGUCAGUUUUGAGGAAAAUCGUGAGAGAGCUAGAGCUCAUUUUGCAGCAGUCAUCCAGUGAUCUUGAGAAAAAAUUGUUUGCGCCUUGUCAGCCAGUUAAGAUUAUAGAUCGGCAAGUGAAAGAGGUUCAAGGGAUGUUGACCAUGUUGGUCAACGUUUGUUGAGAGAGACAAGAUCUGAGGAGACCUGAGAGACUGAGACUUUGAUGAGGAUUGAUUAUCCAGAGCUUUUUCAGGAUGCUAUUAAAAAGCCGACUCAGGAUUUGAAUUCGAGGACGAAUUCCUAGUAAGUGGGGAAGAAUUGUAACGACCCGGUUAUGCUAACCGAUUUUGGUUUGUAAUAAUCCUCUUCUGCAUAGUCCACUUUCUGUCAAUCCAGUGAGCUGUCACAACCAUGUAGCUGCAAGAGGUUGUAGGAGCAACCCAUAUAUCUGUGGUUAGAGAGACCCUCUUCUGCUCAGAACUGAACAAGUGCUUAAACGCUUCUUUCUCUUUCAAGAACAUCCCAAAAAUGUCCUCUCUUCAAUCCAGUGAGCUGUCCGUGUACAUAGGCAACACGUUCUUACAGAAACGCCUAAACCCUUCAGAUUCCACAAAAGCAAACGGUAACUCAUUCAACACAAUCAUCUCAUUGACAGAUCUCCUAAACAGGGUAGCAUCAUACUUCACUGCAGUCACUACACCACUACUAUCACCACCUAGGAUUGUCUGACCCCCACUAGACUAAAAGAGUUCAUGCAACUUACAGCGAGAUAUGUGAUUUUUCAUGGCACUUGUUCCACUCUUCUUAGAGUCGGAUCCUAUAUCUUGACCAAAAUAUCGACAAAUAGCUAUGCUCGGGUCAUCUUCCCUCUGAAUAAAGUGUUGCCACACUUCUGCUCUGUGAAUUUGUUUCUUCUUUGUAGGUGGAGGCAGUUCGGUACUUGAUCUCUCUGAAGCCGGCCUUUUCUUUCCACCAGCUUGAGAUUCAUGUCCUUCUUCAGGUUGAUCAUCAUCAAUCUUAUCUUCAUAAGCAGACAUCUACAUCAAGGAAAAAAAAUUAAGACAAUGAGAUACAAAAUCAAACCAUCAUUCAACAUUCAACACAAAAUUAAGACCAUGUUCUACAAAAUCGACACACUUAAAUCAAACCAUUAUUCAACACUAAUCAUAAAAUUCAUAUCGAUUUUGACUUUAAUCCCUAAAUGCUAAAUGUUUCAAAAUCGAUCUGAAACAGAAACCUAAUCUACAAAAUCAACAGACAAUCCGUGGUAAUAGAUAGAGAGAAAGUGAAAUCGAAAAUACCUUAAGUGAAAUUCUCCUAAAUCCCAAAAUCGAAAUACAAACCCUAAUCCUCCCAACCCAAAUCAUAAGCAGAAAGAAGAUGGAGAUUGAAGAAGAACUAACCUUUUUAAUCGAUCGGUUUGAGAGAAAUGGAAUUGAUUUUAAAGAUUAGAUAGAGAGGUUAUGUUUUCGAUCUGCUUAGUAAAAGGUUAACCGACCAUUAAGCUUAAGAGAAGUAUUUAUACCUAGGUUUAAUGAUUCUCGGGUUUCCGAUCGGUUACUCUUAACCAAACCGAACCGAGGGAAUAACCGAACUAUAUACAAAUCUCUGCCGAACGGUUUCCUCCCCGUAACCGAACAAUAACCAAAAUGUCAAAAUGUCGGUUCGGUUCGGUUCGGACCAUUCGGUUCGGUUCGGAAUCGCAGGCCUAGGAGAAACCAUCGUUGUUGUGAUUCAUGUUAUUGGGAACAUGACUAAGACGAAAUGAGAAAGUGUAACCGGAGCCAUCGCGUUCCAUCGCAACCAGCCACAUAUUGCAUGGCCAUGAUCUAUGAGUCACCGCCACCGGAGAUCCACGUAGCCACCGUCCAAGCUGUACCAAACCACAUAAGAUCAUAGACAUCAUUACCGGAGGAGCAGUCAUGCCUUUAGAAGUAUUGUGGUGAUCUGUCUACGGUAUGUAAUGGAAACGAGAGGUGUAGACGUGGAGAAGAGACGGAGCCACCGCAUCAUCAUAUUUCCGUUGUUGUUCUUCACCAUCAUCAAUGGUGAGCCACUGGACAUGCACUUCAUGUAGGGAUAUUAAUAUGGGUUUUGGUCUGUAGGGUUAGCCCAGCCCGCAUCCAUUUUUUUAACCCAAAAGUCCUUUAUUUUUCUUUUGUGAAAACAAAUCAGAACGGCGCAGUUUUUAGUUUCUUCUCUAGUUCUCCAUCUCUCCUCGACGGCUCGACGCUUCAUGGUGAUCUCAUUUCUUCUCCAGUUCUUCAUCACCUGAUUGUAAUCGGGAGACACGAUUUCGUCUCCAGUUCUCCAUCAUUUCAUUUCGAAAAACUUCCCUCCUCUCUCGCGAUCCUCCGUGUUGUGUCCGUCGAGCAAUCUCCUCUCUCCUUGACAUCGAGCAACGAGUGUUUGAAGAGACUCAAGAGUCAAGAGACUUGGAGAGCAACAAGUAUUGGCUGCCUUGGAGAGUUUAAUAAAAUGAGUUUGCAUUAACAUGAAUGUAAACUUUAGUUUUUAAUUUCAGUGAAGACAAAAAUGAAGAAAAGACACAUUUUGCAUUUACAUGAUCAUACUUACAGUUUUUAACAUUUAAAUUUAAGUCAAAUUUGAUAGGCAAAAAAAUAUUGACUUGUAAAAGAAAUUAAAUGGGCUAACCCUGAUCUAGCCUAACCUUUAACAAAAAGUAGGGUUAAAAUAGGGUUGGGUUAAAAUAGGGUUGGGUUAAAACAGGGCUAGGUUUAUAUAACCCAAAGAAGGGCUUAACCUUAACCAUGUACAUAACAUCCCUAACUAUAUGUCACCGGAGUUCAAGAUCCUUUGACAAGUCAAAGCCGUGAAGGUUAUGGAGUCUUCUCCUUUGUUUCUUGUGUUACAAGCAACAUUUAUAACUUAAAACUUAAUUAAGGGUUUCAUUCGUUGGGAGAAUCGGACAAGAAACCAAUUCUAAAGCCUAACCUACCGAGUCUUGUUGCAUACCAAGUUUUUGGGAGUUUCAU
Molecule: RNA transcript, 9353 nt
Organism: Brassica napus (rape)
Lineage: Eukaryota; Viridiplantae; Streptophyta; Magnoliopsida; Brassicales; Brassicaceae
Exons: 8
Source: RefSeq, a predicted model, not a curated record